AUAGCCUCAGGCGCUCGAGAGAACCUUACGUGAAGGAACUAGGCAAAUUAACCCCGUAAGUUCGCGAUAAGGGGAGCCACCGCAAGGUGGCCGCAGGAAAACGAUGGCUGCGACUGUUUACUAAAAACACAGGUCUCUGCGAAGUCGUCGAAGACGACGUAUAGAGACUGACGCUUGCCCGCUGUUGGAACGUUAAGAUGAGUGGUUAGAGCAAUCGAAGCUGCGAGUCGAAGCGCCAAUGAAGGGCGGCCGUAACAAUGACGGUCCUAAGGUAGCGAAAUU
RNAcentral lists this ribosomal RNA (282 nucleotides) under Tiarina fusus. RNAcentral describes it as "Tiarina fusa partial Bacterial large subunit ribosomal RNA". It matches the Rfam family "Bacterial large subunit ribosomal RNA", at positions 1676 to 1966 of the family's 2925-position model. Lineage: Eukaryota; Ciliophora; Prostomatea; Prorodontida; Colepidae. The record is from RNAcentral.